UAGGAAGUGGUGUAGAGGAAGCACGAAGAGUUUAAUCUCUUCAGGUUGGGUUCGAUCCCCUUCUUUCUAA
RNAcentral lists this transfer RNA (70 nucleotides) under Cleisthenes herzensteini (sohachi). RNAcentral describes it as "tRNA-Gln". It matches the Rfam family "tRNA". Rfam says of the family: Transfer RNA (tRNA) molecules are approximately 80 nucleotides in length. Their secondary structure includes four short double-helical elements and three loops (D, anti-codon, and T loops). The record is from RNAcentral. Lineage: Eukaryota; Metazoa; Chordata; Actinopteri; Pleuronectiformes; Pleuronectidae.